This 253-nucleotide ribosomal RNA is filed under the name uncultured bacterium. RNAcentral's name for it is "partial 16S ribosomal RNA". It matches the Rfam family "Bacterial small subunit ribosomal RNA", at positions 524 to 776 of the family's 1533-position model. The record is from RNAcentral.
UACGUAGGGGGCAAGCGUUGUUCGGAAUUACUGGGCGUAAAGCGCGCGUAGGCGGUUUGAAAAGUCAGAUGUGAAAGCCCCGGGCUCAACUUGGGAACUGCAUUUGAUACUGUCAGACUAGAGUACAGAAGAGGUGACUGGAAUUCCCAGUGUAGCGGUGAAAUGCGUAGAUAUUGGGAGGAACACCUGCGGCGAAGGCGGGUUGCUGGGCCGACACUGACGCUGAUGCGCGAAAGCCAGGGGAGCGAACGGG